This 253-nucleotide ribosomal RNA is filed under the name uncultured bacterium. RNAcentral describes it as "partial 16S ribosomal RNA". It matches the Rfam family "Bacterial small subunit ribosomal RNA", at positions 524 to 776 of the family's 1533-position model. The record is from RNAcentral.
UACGUAGGGUGCAAGCGUUAAUCGGAAUUACUGGGCGUAAAGCGAGCGCAGGCGGUUAUGUAAGACAGAUGUGAAAUCCCAGGGCUUAACCUUGGAACUGCAUUUGUGACUGCAUGGCUAGAGUGUGUCAGAGGGGGGUGGAACUCCACGUGUAGCAGUGAAAUGCGUAGAGAUGUGGAAGAACACCGAUGGCGAAGGCAGCCCCCUGGGAUAACACUGACGCUCAGGCUCGAAAGCGUGGGGAGCAAACAGG